This is a non-coding RNA of Pelobates cultripes (western spadefoot toad), 288 nucleotides long. The record is from the annotation of a GenBank genome assembly. NCBI's taxonomy places the organism in Eukaryota, Metazoa, Chordata, Amphibia, Anura, Pelobatidae.
CACCAGGAAUCCCUGGGGGUCACAGUGUUGAGAGUGAACUCUAGCCCGUAGCUCCAGGGCUAGAGUUGACUCUCGCAAGAGCGGUAACGUUGCCAUGGUAACCGCGGCAACGCUCUGUGCUCGCACAAGAAGGACCCAGAGGAGCUGCAGGGUGAGCUCCCAGGUCCUCUCUUCCUCCCCUGCCCGCACGGUGCCUGCGGACAGGGGAGGGGGGGCAUUCUUCCCUCUCUGUCUCUUUCUCCCCCUCCCCAUCUCUCUAUUCCCCCUCUUUCUCCCCGUGUCUCAUUC